UUAUAUAAUGAACAGUCAAAUUAAUUGAAUAUUUUGUUCCAAUUCCAUUAUAAUGUUUUGUUUUAAAUGUGCUUUUAUUUUAAUGUGUAAACACUACUGAGAAGUGUGGUAGUAAUCUUUGAUCUUCAUUGAAUUUUAAGAUUUAGGUCAGUUAGUUUUCUCACUUAACUUUCCUGACAAAGCUGAACCCCCAAAAAUGUU
Long non-coding RNA from Sphaeramia orbicularis (orbiculate cardinalfish), 201 nucleotides. RefSeq lists it as uncharacterized. NCBI's taxonomy places the organism in Eukaryota, Metazoa, Chordata, Actinopteri, Kurtiformes, Apogonidae. The transcript is spliced from 2 exons. The record is from RefSeq and is a predicted model, not a curated record.